Molecule: ribosomal RNA, 253 nt
Filed under: uncultured bacterium
Lineage: Bacteria
Description: partial 16S ribosomal RNA
Rfam family: Bacterial small subunit ribosomal RNA
Source: RNAcentral
UACAGAGGUCUCAAGCGUUGUUCGGAUUCAUUGGGCGUAAAGCGCGUGUAGGCGGCUCGAUAAGUCUGCUGUGAAAGUCCAGGGCUCAACCCUGGGAUGCCGGUGGAUACUGUCGAGCUCGAGUCCGGAAGAGGCGAGUGGAAUUCCUGGUGUAGCGGUGAAAUGCGCAGAUAUCAGGAGGAACACCAAUGGCGAAGGCAGCUCGCUGGGACGUGACUGACGCUGAGACGCGAAAGCGUGGGGAGCAAACAGG